This 499-nucleotide long non-coding RNA is filed under the name Apteryx rowi (Okarito brown kiwi). RNAcentral's name for it is "lncRNA (ENSARWG00000002157.1)". Lineage: Eukaryota; Metazoa; Chordata; Aves; Apterygiformes; Apterygidae. The record is from RNAcentral.
AUUCAAUGGAGAAAGAGUAUAUUAAUGGUAUUGAACUCUGAUGUGUCAUUUUAUUUGUAUAUCUCAGAGUCCUCUAAGAAGAAAAUCAUUAUCUCUGUUUCAUAGGUUGUGAGAUGAAGGCAUAGAGAGUUACCUUACAGUGGUAUAUUGAAGAAUAUGAAGUCAGGAGCAGAACUGGGAGGAAACUCUAGAUCUCUUAAACUCCAGCUCAGCACAAGAGAAAAGAAAAGCUUUACCAUCUGAUGAUAAGGAGCUAUCAAGCUGUUUCCUGCCUUUGAGUGCUAGUCCACAUACGCAUUCAGACGCAACCAGGAAAACAAGAUCCAAAACAAAAAGCAACCUCCAGCAGCUUAAAGUGAAGGGGUGGAAGGAGCUUCCAAAUUUGUAUUUGUUAUUAGAAAGGUAAUCUUCGAUGAGCAUAGUUGUAGGAACAUGCCCAUCUCUGCCAUGGAGGUGAGCAUUUACUGUGCUGUGGAUAAGUCUAGAAAGUUAAACAACG